CCGGCAGAUCUAUUCCCCUAAUAAAGGCUUGUUGUGGCCUGGUCUGGUCUUGGUCUUCGGCCUUUUACCUGACAGAAGAUGGCCCUCCUGACCUAUCAGACGCACACACACACACACACACACACACACACACACACACACGCAUUUGUGGAUUCAGCCAACUUCCAGUGAUGCACAAAGUAGUUGGGCCUAUUAUGGUUAUGCCUGUAUUGCAUAUGGCAGAUAACGCCACAGCAAAGCCGUCAUGGCGGAGGGCUUGGUUGAGCAAAGCUGCUCACUUCACAGCAGCCAGAGAACAGAACAAGAGCAAGAGACAGCGCAAAGGUCCACUUCAGAGAACCACUGACGGCUACUCUGAUCUGCACAAGGAAGCAGGGCACAAGGAAGGUAUUUAACAUUUCCAGAAGCAGACUUCAAUUAAAGACAGACAGAAGUUACUGUGUAAAGCCAGCUCCUUGUGCUGAUGCAUAACACUCUGGGAUGUGAUUUCAACAUCUUCACUGGUUCCCUCGAGCUCUGUGUAAAGGAGAGGAGACAGCAGGAGGAGCUGAAAUCAGAGAAGGCGCUCCACCGGAAGUCGGAGGAGGUGGUGCCUGGCCAGUGAAGCCCCCAGAGACAUAGAGGAGCUCCCCAAGGCUGUCUCACGUGUGCCACUUUAAGAGGCGGAGGCCAUUUUAAGUUACUAGUAAGGAAAAUGACGGCCCAACAGACAGAAGACCUAGGCGUGGGGGGCUGACAGGCGGGCUUCACGGCCCCGGGCCUGGAGUGAGUGAGGAGGUCGGAC
Long non-coding RNA from Heterocephalus glaber (naked mole-rat), 784 nucleotides. NCBI's taxonomy places the organism in Eukaryota, Metazoa, Chordata, Mammalia, Rodentia, Bathyergidae. The record is from Ensembl.